RNAcentral lists this non-coding RNA (258 nucleotides) under Candidatus Sulfuritelmatomonas gaucii. Lineage: Bacteria; Pseudomonadati; Acidobacteriota; Terriglobia; Terriglobales; Acidobacteriaceae. The record is from RNAcentral.
CAAGUCCCACCCGGCAACCGCUCCAGCCGGAAGCAACCGGAGCAGUCAUGGAGGUAACGAAAUGGCUGAAGCCUCUGGUUAGCGUGUCACGAAUUGGUGACAGCGCGAGUGUGCAGGCCGUAACGCGAGUGAACGCCGAGCAGGCCUCGAAAAGGACGAUGCGCAGGCCGACCCGACAACCCUUUCGGGGAAGGCUGAUACGGCUGGGGUUAAUGAGCGAAGCAGUCCGCCCAGCCGCUGCGCCGGGGUAGUGGCGAC